GAUGAACGCUGGCGGCGUGCUUAACACAUGCAAGUCGAACGAUAAAGCCCAGCUUGCUGGGUGGAUUAGUGGCGAACGGGUGAGUAACACGUGAGUAACCUGCCCUUGACUCUGGGAUAAGCCUGGGAAACUGGGUCUAAUACUGGAUAUGACUUCUCAUCGCAUGGUGGGGGGUGGAAAGAUUUAUUGGUCUUGGAUGGACUCGCGGCCUAUCAGCUUGUUGGUGAGGUAAUGGCUCACCAAGGCGACGACGGGUAGCCGGCCUGAGAGGGUGACCGGCCACACUGGGACUGAGACACGGCCCAGACUCCUACGGGAGGCAGCAGUGGGGAAUAUUGCACAAUGGGCGCAAGCCUGAUGCAGCGACGCCGCGUGAGGGAUGACGGCCUUCGGGUUGUAAACCUCUUUCAGUAGGGAAGAAGCGAGAGUGACGGUACCUGCAGAAGAAGCGCCGGCUAACUACGUG
This 466-nucleotide ribosomal RNA is filed under the name uncultured bacterium. RNAcentral's name for it is "partial 16S ribosomal RNA". It matches the Rfam family "Bacterial small subunit ribosomal RNA", at positions 28 to 507 of the family's 1533-position model. The record is from RNAcentral.